This 253-nucleotide ribosomal RNA is filed under the name uncultured bacterium. Its description in RNAcentral is "partial 16S ribosomal RNA". It matches the Rfam family "Bacterial small subunit ribosomal RNA", at positions 524 to 776 of the family's 1533-position model. The record is from RNAcentral.
UACGGGGGGGGCAAGCGUUGUUCGGAAUUACUGGGCGUAAAGGGCUCGUAGGCGGCCAACUAAGUCGGAUGUGAAAUCCCCAGGCUUAACCUGGGAACUGCAUCCGAUACUGGAUGGCUUGAAUUCGGGAGAGGGAUGCAGAAUUCCAGGUGUAGCGGUGAAAUGCGUAGAUAUCUGGAGGAAUACCGGUGGCGAAAGCGGCAUCCUGGACCGAGAUUGACGCUGAUGAGCGAAAGCUAGGGGAGCAAACGGG